ACUAGUUACCACAGCCACAGAGUCAAAAUGGACUAUAUCGUUAAAAAAAAACGUAUUUUGGGGCUAAAUUUAAGGUGAGGCAUAAAGUUAGCAGUGUGGUUGGGGUUAGGUUUAAAAUCAGAUUGUACGAAUAACAAUUGUAAAAAUGGGCGGGGUGUAGCCAUAAUUAUGACUUUGUGGUUGUGGUAACUAGUGACGACCAGAGGUUUAAUGUACAGCCAAAUAUACUCCAUUCUCUACUAUCUCUGGUACAGUUUAUCUGUGACAAAAUGUCGAUGACAACUAUGUAGAAGGUUACUCUGAUUUUCUGCUCUGUCCUCUGUGUUUUGUUUUUUCUUCCCUAAAUAAUUUUCCAGAGAGGGAAGAAUGAUGUAGGGCAGCCCGAGGUUGGUCCUGGGUAUUAUCCUCCCAUGAUGCAUCGCCUACAGAUGCCAGAGGAGUGCCUCGGACAGUGGAUGGAGGGGACUCAUGACUCUGGGCCCCACAGCCCUGAGGUCCUGGCUAAAGUCAAAGGCAUGGGCACACUUCAGAUCCGAGGAGCCACUAAAUCCAAUCUGAUCAGCCAGGACAUUCCCAUCUACGGAUUUGGAAUCCUACUCCACAUCUUCUUCAUCAUAUUCUAGAUAAGCUGCACAAUGUCCACCCUAGACUGGCUCAGUUAAAUGGAUAGACAAACUAUUUAGAGGCAGGAAUGUAGAUGAUGUAGACUAUUACAGUUUUUAACAGCAUCCAUGUAAUACCUAUACUAGCUAGGAGUCCAGUGCAUCCAGUACAUUAGAAGGUGUGCACACCAUAAAUGCAUUGUUGUAUUCACAGAUGACAACUAGGCCUAAAGGAAAAAGUACUAAACUGGUAUGCCGAUUUCCUACAAUGACAUUUGAAGCUUGGCAGGAGAGGAGGAGUAAGUAGACAGCAUCACAUCAUUAAUAGCUAGGCCAUUGUGAAUGACACAAUGAUGUAUAUGAUGUGCCUUUUAUCUCAUAGCGCAGUUGAUAACAGUCCCAUGCACCUGACCUCCCUAACACACACCAUUUAGGUCCUACAUUCCGUGAUGAUUCACCCUGAUGAAAGACUAAUGCAGGAUAUAACACACCCUGCGAGGAGAAAUGUCAUCUGACAAAUGAGCUCCUCUCUAACAGUCACCUCUUUCAUGACUUUGAGGGCUUAUUUUCAAUCAACUUCCUCAUUGUUUUGAUCGUUCCAUUUGUCAGGGCCCCUGCAGAAUGUAUCAGUAGCUCCAAUUUAAGCAACUCCAUGAUAAGGUAGAUUAGGAUCCUGUCCAACUCACAGGGAGCUUUGUUCCCUGCCUUUGUUAGACCUGGAUUAGCAAUCAGAAGUAAUGUUGUUUCAGCCCAGCAGUGUCUAAUACCAAUUACUGCAUGUAUUUUGGAUCAGCACUAAGAGGUUUAGCUCCAUUCAUCAAAUGAAUGCUAAGGGGGUAGGGGUGGGGGACAAUGUGACAGGGACAUGCAUAUAAAUCUAUUCAUGUCCUAUGUAUCAAUGCCACUCUCACCUUCCGUAAUUAAGAAACAUUGAGUCACAAUGGUUGAUUCGUUUCCAUUCCUGAGUAUUGAACGUGUAGUUCUGAACGUGCAGAGUGAAUGUUGAAUCUCAAGGCUUUCUGCAACAUUGGAAAGCAACUCUAGAUACGGUGUGUGUUCGUCCAUGCAUGAGUUUGCUCUUUAAAUCCCUGACUGCCAUGUUUCCCUCCCAGCAGAUGAUGAGCUGGCCCAGCUUCAGGAGAAGCUGCUGGAGACAGAGGGUGAAGUAGAGGAUCUUCUCCAGAAGGAGCAGCACUCCUAACAGCACGACUAGCAGCAAGGUUAGAAGAGCAUCCAAGCAGGAGAAGUUACUGCGGAAGCUGAGUAAGAUCAGUCGGGUGAUGCAGGAGGUACGACUGAUGGAGGGGGCCACACCUGAGAUGGUGCCCUACGCUGCUGACUGAGAGGGCUACCAUGAGGAGACCUACCCCCAGUAUUUUUUUAUUUAUUUACCUUUAUUUAACCAGGUAGGCAAGUUGAGAACAAGUUCUCAUUUACAAUUGCGACCUGGCCAAGAUAAAGCAAAGCAGUUCGACAGAUACAACAACACAGAGUUACACAUGGAGUAAAACAAACAUACAGUCAAUAAUAAAGUAUAAACAAUUCUAUA
Molecule: non-coding RNA, 2151 nt
Organism: Oncorhynchus mykiss (rainbow trout)
Lineage: Eukaryota; Metazoa; Chordata; Actinopteri; Salmoniformes; Salmonidae
Source: RefSeq, a predicted model, not a curated record